This is a long non-coding RNA of Brassica napus (rape), 3989 nucleotides long. RefSeq lists it as uncharacterized. The transcript has 2 exons. Lineage: Eukaryota; Viridiplantae; Streptophyta; Magnoliopsida; Brassicales; Brassicaceae. The record is from RefSeq and is a predicted model, not a curated record.
AGUGGUCUGCCAGUGGACGCGGUGGUAAGAAACGCAUAGGUUGAUAACAAUUGGUGGGUCAGCUCUUCAAGAUCAAGGAAUCCGGUUAUAAGCUUUCUAAAGAAUUGCUUACCUGAUCCCCGAGCAGUAGUGUUGUCUGAGGAGGAGGACUGUUUUUUAUGGCAAAUUGGAGAUAGGACUCCUGUUCCAGAUUUCUCUACUUCUCUCAUGUGGACUCACCUCUAUGAUCGGCUGCCGGAAGUGACUUGGCAUAAGUCAAUAUGGUUCAAAUGAAGGAUACCGAAGCAUGCGUUUCUUUCUUGGUUGAUAGCUCUAAACAGAUUAUCGACAAAAGACAGGAUGAGCCAAUGGGGUGUGCCAGUCUCCUCCACUUGUUUGUUGUGCGGUUCUGCUGAUGAAACUCAGCCAACAUCUGUUCUUGGAAUGUGAUUACAGCAAGGAGGUCCAUACCUUCUUCUUCUCUCCGAUCCAUCUCUCCCCUCCUCCACUGAUCAUGGAUGUUCUAGGCUGGAUCAAAGCUCCCACUCGAGAUAGUAACAUCAAUCUGAUCCUAAAGCUCACCUUUCAAGCCUCUAUCUAUAUGCUUUGGAAAGAAAGAAACUCAAGAAUGCAUAAUCAGUCUUCUCGACCGGCAGUUUCUCUCAUACAAGAGAUUCAACACCUGUUACGAGCAAAGAUGGAUAUUCUCUCUAGAGAUCAGAGGAAUCUUCCUACCACGGCCACCUUUUUAUCUACUUGGCGUCGCCUUUAUACUAGCUCGUAGGUAGAGUAUUUUUUUGAGUUUUGUAAGUGGAUUAGACGAUCUGCGUUUUUGGAGUUGUACAAAAAUAAUAUGAACAAAGAAUGUUAAGUUAAAUAUAUAUAUAUAUAUAUAUAUUAAGGGAAAUGAAAUAUUUCAAUUUAAGUUUGUUUAUUCAAAGUAUAAUGAUUAUAGUGUACGUGGAAUAUUUUGUUUAUUUUUAUAAUUUGGAACCGGUUCAUGAAAUUUUGGGGUUAUAUACUUAAAAAGAAUUUUAAUAAACAACUUUUAAAAUUUCCGAAUUUUGGGCCAAUAUUUCACUAGAAAUAGCCUUGUUUUUGUGUAUAUACAUAAACAUAAAAGAAUGAGUAUUUGUAAGUGAUUAUAAUACUAUUAUUUUCAUUUUAAUACUAAUAUAAUGUUUUCAUAUAUAUUAAGGGAAAUGAAAUAUUUCAACUUAAAUUUGUUUAUUCGUAAGUAUGAUCUACAUUAUAAUAGGGCAGUUGCAUCACUCCUGAUGCGACACGUCAGCGAUAUGUGGGUCCCACUUUUAAAAAGUGUGAAAAAAGUGUCAAGUCUAUAACUCGAACUCAGGUUAUUGAGAUCUAAACAACAACAUUUAUACCACUGAGCUAAAGGAUUCUACGUACAUUGAUGGCUGAAAUAAAUAUAUAUUUAUGAAGGUCGGAAACUUUUGCUUCUUCGAUUUUCUCUGUGGGAUCCACACUUAUUUAUUUUAUCUAAUGAUUUAAUAUAUAAAUACUUUAUAACUCACGUUUUGAAAUGAGUUUCGCUAAAAAAAAAGCCCAAUAAACCUCUUUGGUCUGUAAGCGUUCUCUUCAAUGGAAGUUUAGGGCUUUCAAUUUUUAAUCAUCGGUUCAUGACUCAUCUAAGAAACACUGAUUGGCUCUUUGAGUUUCAUGAAUCAGUUUUUCUUCUUUAGUCUCUACAUCUCCUCAUCUUUAAUAAAUUCAUCAUCGGUUCUUUUAUUUUGCCUGAUAAAUCAUGAUUGUGUGGUUUUAAUUUUCUUUGGUCAUCCUUAGCUUGCAUCCUUUGAUCUAACCAAGAAGAAGAAGAAGACAUUUAUCGUUCAGGAUGUCAUCGAGGACUCAGCUGAGUCACACGGGAGACAUACUAUCCGUUGCCUGAUUGUUCAAGAAGAGUUUAUGUGAUGUGAAACAUAUUUGUUUCUUUUCAUCAGUUGCUUUGUUUAAUCUUUUUUCCUGCAAAUAAUGAUGGUUUUGACAGUUCAUUCACGGGAGCCAAGAAGUAAAAGAAGAAGAAACCAGUGAGUGUUUGACAUUUUAUGUCUUCCUGAGUUUUUUUUUUUCCAUUCAUUAAACUUGGAUUUUGAAGAUUAUGUGUCUCACAUUCUUUUUAUUUUGAUGGUUGUUAGGUUGAAUGAAGAUUAUUGAAUAAAGAAAAUGUUGAUGCUCCUGAAGAUUUGGAGGGUACUUUAUAUUUCUUUCUCUGAUAAUUCUAGCGACAUAAAUUUGAACCUUACAGAGGGUAUAUUGCAGAGCAUCCUAAUGAUGAGGAAGAGGUGGAGGGAAUUGAUCUGCACCAGCAACGUUACCCUUGGGAGGGAAGUGACAUGGAUACUUAUACGACGAGGUAAGCAUAUCAUUAGAUGGUUUGUGGUCCAUCUUUGAGAGCCGUCGAUUGUAAGUGUCUAUCAUUUUGAAGUUGUACGACACUGAGAUGUAAAAAAUUACUAAUCACGAUUACCUUAUUAGCAGAGUUCUUUUGCACAGUUAUUAUCAAUGGAAUUAACACUGGAAAUUGAUGGUGCUAUAUUUCAUGUUCCAAAUGCUAACGCAAGCUCCAAUGUUGAUUCUCAGCUUUAACAUGCCAAAAUCACAAUGCAGUGGGUGUUGUAAGGAACCGUUUGUAAAUAAAUGUCUCAGAUGUAUAUGACUACUUAGUUUGUUGCUUUUGACAGUGAAAUCACUAAGUUUGCAAUGUGUUAGGACAGCAAAAACAUCUCAGCUGAUGGUUAUCUUUACAAUUUCAUUGGUUUCUUUUUCUUAUUAUGUUGGAUGGAUUAUUUUAGCUAACAAAUACCGCAACAGAGCGCUGGCAAUAACUCUAAUAGAUUUAUAUAUACAUGUAGAAUUGGAAGUUUGGUGAGAACAGGAACAAGUACUUUUGUCACGCUAUUGGACAGUUAUACGUCAUUUCAAGAGAAUUGAUUUCUUAUAUUUCCCAUAAUCAGUAAGAUUUUAACUGUUUUGUCUACUUUGCAUUCAUACCUCAUUCUCCAUCUAACUUCUCGGUGCUACUAUAUAAUGAUCAAGUCAUUUUCUGCACAAAUAGGCAAGUGGGGAUGUUACGUUGGGUGCUUGGUUUAUUGGGCUUGGCUAUACAAAGUCUGUUGUGACUCUAAAACUUUUAACUCAUUUAACAUUGAUUCUGAUUCUUGGGAGAAUUGCAGAUUGUGAAUGAAAGGCACAAGCAGGGAACAUAUGUGUAGUUGCGUUCGACUCGACAUGUAGCGGUAUCUGCAGAUCCGCUGAUCCCAUUGUGGAGGUUAACAUGCAAUGUGUUGACCUGAAAAUCAUUAUUUGGAAGCUACAUUUCGAGGCAUUUCCUCAACAUAUAAAUAGACCAUAGACAGAGUUUGAUAUUUAUAAUACUCAGUGAUCAUGGAGUCUGCAGAAAACAGUCCUUUUGCAUAUUCUAUAUGGAACCAAGAGAUAUGUCCUUUGUUUGAUGAUUGUAUUAUGAUAGCUACUAGCAUAGGAGAUGACUAGAGAAAGAGAAAUGAGUAUGAAACUCUUAUAUGGGUAGCUUUUGUAAACACAUUUGGGUUUAUUAACAGUUGUGACAAGCAAUUAUGUUUAUAGUAAAGGAAACCCGCCGCAGCGUCAAUAACAAAUGCGCCUGUUUUUUUGUUGUUUGGGAUUGAAAUAGCUUAUGGGUUUUCUAAAUCAAUAUAAUUGAUUUGACUAAAGCUAUCUUGGAUGACAAAAAGAAGGAUUGCAGGUUUAAUAACUUCCACUUUAGAUUUUAAUUUCAACUAAAUUAUAAUCAGUCUUUUAUCCAUAUCAUCUUAGUUAUAAUCGUAAGGAUUUAUUAGAAUAAAUAAACAGUUUCAACAAUAUUUAAUAUGUGAUUUAAUAAACAAAAGAACAUGUAGGAUUUUUAGGAUUUAAAAAGAUUGGAGACAAUAGUUAAUGAAUAUGAAAAGAAUACGAAGCAGAUGAUGAAAAAUGAUUCGAGCAAAUUAGUGGCAACACAGAGGUAAGCG